GAUGAACGCUCGCUACAGGCUUAACACAUGCAAGUCGAGGGGAAACGCUGAGAGAGCUUGCUCUCUUAGGCGUCGACCGGCGCACGGGUGAGUAACGCGUAUCCAACCUACCCAUUACAGGGGGAUAACCUUGCGAAAGUAAGACUAAUACCCCAUGGCAUUUUAUGGUGGCAUCAUUAUAGGAUUAAAGAUUUAUUGGUAAUGGAUGGGGAUGCGUCUGAUUAGCUUGUUGGCGGGGUAACGGCCCACCAAGGCAACGAUCAGUAGGGGUUCUGAGAGGAAGGUCCCCCACAUUGGAACUGAGACACGGUCCAAACUCCUACGGGAGGCAGCAGUGAGGAAUAUUGGUCAAUGGGCGAGAGCUUGAACCAGCCAAGUAGCGUGCAGGAUGACGGCCCUAUGGGUUGUAAACUGCUUUUAUAGGGGAAUAAAGUGAGCUACGUGUAGUUUAUUGCAUGUACCCGAUGAAUAAGGACCGGCUAAUUCCGUG
RNAcentral lists this ribosomal RNA (490 nucleotides) under uncultured bacterium. Its description in RNAcentral is "partial 16S ribosomal RNA". It matches the Rfam family "Bacterial small subunit ribosomal RNA", at positions 28 to 507 of the family's 1533-position model. The record is from RNAcentral.